ACAAAAGACAAGAUCAAUAAAGACCUUGUGCCCACAUUAGGUUCCAUAUUCAAGCUGCCAAGCAACACUCCAUGAGCCAACCUAUCGUUGAAUGAGCAACAACAAGGUGGAUCACAAAAAUUGCUUCGAUGUUCGUUAACGCCGCAAGCGACGCAUUGCGAAACUAAACUUCAUUCAAGCCAAACAAUGCCUUCGAUUAGGUAUGCAACACAGUAACCCGCUAAAUGCUCACAGCAGACAAGCCAUGAGCACAAUUGAAAAGGUAAGAACGCAUGGAAGUUGCUGCUCAAGCAGACAUCCAACCACCCGUAACAAACCAAACACCACUCAUGCACCUUUAUGGUAGACAUUCCCGAAGAUCGCCAACUAAUAGCCACCCUCUCGGCAACAAGGCCAAGAAAA
Molecule: unclassified non-coding RNA, 402 nt
Filed under: Reichardia tingitana
Lineage: Eukaryota; Viridiplantae; Streptophyta; Magnoliopsida; Asterales; Asteraceae
Description: partial external transcribed spacer
Source: RNAcentral